This 253-nucleotide ribosomal RNA is filed under the name uncultured bacterium. RNAcentral's name for it is "partial 16S ribosomal RNA". It matches the Rfam family "Bacterial small subunit ribosomal RNA", at positions 524 to 776 of the family's 1533-position model. The record is from RNAcentral.
UACGGGGGGGGCAAGCGUUGUUCGGAAUUACUGGGCGUAAAGGGCUCGUAGGCGGCCAACUAAGUCAGACGUGAAAUCCCUCGGCUUAACCGGGGAACUGCCUCUGAUACUGGAUGGCUUGAGUUCGGGAGAGGGAUGUGGAAUUCCAGGUGUAGCGGUGAAAUGCGUAGAUAUCUGGAGGAACACCGGUGGCGAAGGCGGCAUCCUGGACCGACACUGACGCUGAUGAGCGAAAGCCAGGGGAGCAAACGGG